Molecule: transfer RNA, 75 nt
Filed under: Chloroflexi bacterium RBG_13_50_10
Lineage: Bacteria; Bacillati; Chloroflexota
Also listed under: 2 other names
Description: tRNA-Met
Rfam family: tRNA
About the family: Transfer RNA (tRNA) molecules are approximately 80 nucleotides in length. Their secondary structure includes four short double-helical elements and three loops (D, anti-codon, and T loops).
Source: RNAcentral
GGCAGCGUAGCUCAGUGGUAGAGCAGGGGACUCAUAAGCCCUUGGUCACUGGUUCAAAUCCAGUCGCUGCCACCA